UGGGGAAUAUUGGACAAUGGGCGCAAGCCUGAUCCAGCCAUGCCGCGUGAGUGAAGAAGGCCCUAGGGUUGUAAAGCUCUUUCAGCGGGGACGAUAAUGACGGUACCCGCAGAAGAAGCCCCGGCUAACUACGUGCCAGCAGCCGCGGUGAUACGUAGGGUGCGAGCGUUGUCCGGAUUUAUUGGGCGUAAAGGGCUCGUAGGUGGUUGAUCGCGUCGGAAGUGUAAUCUUGGGGCUUAACCCUGAGCGUGCUUUCGAUACGGGUUGACUUGAGGAAGGUAGGGGAGAAUGGAAUUCCUGGUGGAGCGGUGGAAUGCGCAGAUAUCAGGAGGAACACCAGUGGCGAAGGCGGUUCUCUGGGCCUUUCCUGACGCUGAGGAGCGAAAGCGUGGGGAGCGAACAGGCUUAGAUACCCUGGUAGUCCACGCUGUAAACGGUGGGUACUAGGUGUGGGGUCCAUUCCACGGGUUCCGUGCCGUAGCUAACGCUUUAAGUACCCCGCCUGGGGAGUACGGCCGCAAGGCUA
Molecule: ribosomal RNA, 526 nt
Filed under: uncultured bacterium
Lineage: Bacteria
Description: bacterial SSU rRNA
Rfam family: Bacterial small subunit ribosomal RNA
Source: RNAcentral